This 253-nucleotide ribosomal RNA is filed under the name uncultured bacterium. Its description in RNAcentral is "partial 16S ribosomal RNA". It matches the Rfam family "Bacterial small subunit ribosomal RNA", at positions 524 to 776 of the family's 1533-position model. The record is from RNAcentral.
UACGAAGGGGGCUAGCGUUGUUCGGAAUUACUGGGCGUAAAGCGUGCGCAGGCGGUCUCUCAAGUCAGGGGCGAAAGCCCAGAGCUCAACUCUGGAACUGCCCUUGAAACUGUGAGGCUCGAGUACGGGAGAGGUGAGUGGAAUUCCCAGUGUAGAGGUGAAAUUCGUAGAUAUUGGGAAGAACACCGGUGGCGAAGGCGGCUCACUGGCCCGUUUCUGACGCUCAUGCACGAUAGCGUGGGGAUCAAACAGG